RNAcentral lists this ribosomal RNA (496 nucleotides) under uncultured bacterium. RNAcentral's name for it is "partial 16S ribosomal RNA". It matches the Rfam family "Bacterial small subunit ribosomal RNA", at positions 30 to 523 of the family's 1533-position model. The record is from RNAcentral.
AUUGAACGCUGGCGGAGUGCUCUACACAUGCAAGUCGAACGGUAGAGGGGGCAACCCCUCGAGAGUGGCGAACGGGUGAGUAAUAUAUCGGAACGUGCCCAGUCGUGGGGGAUAACGUAGCGAAAGUUACGCUAAUACCGCAUACGAUCUAAGGAUGAAAGCGGGGGAUCGCAAGACCUCGCGCAAUUGGAGCGGCCGAUAUCAGAUUAGGUAGUUGGUGGGGUAAAGGCUCACCAAGCCAACGAUCUGUAGCUGGUCUGAGAGGACGACCAGCCACACUGGAACUGAGACACGGUCCAGACUCCUACGGGAGGCAGCAGUGGGGAAUUUUGGACAAUGGACGCAAGUCUGAUCCAGCCAUUCCGCGUGCAGGAUGAAGGCCCUCGGGUUGUAAACUGCUUUUGUACGGAACGAAAAGGUCUCUCUUAAUACGGGGGGCUCAUGACGGUACCGUAAGAAUAAGCACCGGCUAACUACGUGCCAGCCGCCGCCGUAA